GAUCAAACAAACAUAACGUAAGCAACCGAAAAGAGAAUAAACAACAAGCAACAAAUGCAACUAUGAACAUAGUCACAAACUUGUCCUGGAGACUUAGAAAGAAAUUGCUAGAAUAAACAUCUAGAAUAGAUGCAUUAAAUUAUAAAGUUGCUCAUACAGCAAUUUUAUAGGCUCAUUGAAUAUCCUCUUGGGUGUGCCACACCAUGAAAGUAACUAGCAGAUGCUUAAGCAUUUGUUGGCAUUGGCAGUCGAAGAAACUAUUAAUCACAAAUUUGAAUAACUUUUUCAACAAGAUCUUUGUAAGAUUUACUCAUCAAAAGUUCUUUUUUUCCAUCAUCAACAACUAAAGUUGAAGGUUGAGGCCUUAAGCAUAACCAAGUUACUGGAACUGGAGUGAAGGCAAUCAAAGGUAGCCAUAGGUUGACUUGGGGCAAAACAUUU
Molecule: unclassified non-coding RNA, 441 nt
Filed under: Hevea brasiliensis (rubber tree)
Lineage: Eukaryota; Viridiplantae; Streptophyta; Magnoliopsida; Malpighiales; Euphorbiaceae
Source: RNAcentral